RNAcentral lists this long non-coding RNA (1060 nucleotides) under Homo sapiens (human). Its description in RNAcentral is "HSALNT0175100". The record is from RNAcentral. Lineage: Eukaryota; Metazoa; Chordata; Mammalia; Primates; Hominidae.
GUAAUUUUUGUAUUUUUUUGUUUUUUUUUUUUUUGGAGAUGGAGUCUCACUGUCACCCAGGCUGGAGCGCAGCAGCACAACCUUGGCUCACUGCAACCUCUGCCUCCCGUGUUCAAGCGAUUUUCCUGCCUCAGCCUCCCGAGCAGCUGGAAUUAGAGGAGUGCACCACCAACCACAGGUGGCAAAUGGUGAGGAGAGAGGAAUAAGCAUCUAUCAUUUUAAGCAUCAAAUAGUACAAAAAGUAUUCUGAACUGAAAAGAAAUUACUACCAAUUAUAGAAUAUUUAAUAUUAAAACACAUUUUACUCUUCCAAGAUACACAGAGUAGAGAAAAUUAACAUUCCUGGCACUUACUAUGUCACAUCUGGAAAUAUCUCAGAGAUAAAAGAUCCAUUUUACAGAUUAAUGAGGUUCAACCCAAUUAGUAAUUGCGCCAAAGUCUAAGUGUGAAUGCCAGAGUGAUGAAUUGAACCCAGGUUUGUCUACAAAACCACUGUUGCAACUAUGGCAUUCCUUUGUACUUGAAAAUAUUUAAUAAGAUCAAUUUCCAGGUCCACCAAUGUUUGUUAGGUAACCAAUCAAGCCAGAGUGUUAGAAAAGGAAUAGGAGUUGGCAUGCCUAAUGAACACCAAGCUAGUGGGAGGACCAGAAAACUAGUUAUAAAAUAGCAUCAGGAAAAAAAAACAGUAAAAAACGUUUUGGGUAAAGAAAAACAACAAAUUUUGCACUGGUCAAAGUGUAUAUACAUCAACAUUCUCUCACAAACAAAAAUAAUCUUAAAUCAUAUUUUUGGGAGAAAUAAUGUUAGCAACACUAAAGCAUUCAGCAAAACAUUCUAUGUACAAACCCAACUUGACUUUAAUGAAAGACGUGGGAGAAAAAAUGUAAAAAACAAAACAAAAGCAUACCUGUUGCUUUAACAGCUGUGGGUCUAGUGGUCAUGACUGGUUUUGGAGGAUUCUGAACAACUCUAGGAACCUCCUGCACCGCUUCCUGUUCAUCUGGAUUAAAAAAAAAGAAAAGAAAAGAAAAGAAAAGAAAAGAAAAGAAAAGAAAACUGC